AACGAACGCUGGCGGCAUGCCUAACACAUGCAAGUCGAACGAGACCUUCGGGUCUAGUGGCGCACGGGUGCGUAACGCGUGGGAACCUGCCCUUAGGUUCGGAAUAACUCCCCGAAAGGGGUGCUAAUACCGGAUAAUGUCUUCGGACCAAAGAUUUAUCGCCUUUGGAUGGGCCCGCGUUGGAUUAGCUAGUUGGUAGGGUAAAAGCCUACCAAGGCGACGAUCCAUAGCUGGUCUGAGAGGAUGAUCAGCCGCACUGGGACUGAGACACGGCCCAGACUCCUACGGGAGGAAGCAGUGGGGAAUAUUGGACAAUGGGCGAAAGCCUGAUCCAGCAAUGCCGCGUGAGUGAUGAAGGCCUUAGGGUUGUAAAGCUCUUUUACCCGGGAUGAUAAUGACAGUACCGGGAGAAUAAGCUCCGGCUAACUCCGUG
Molecule: ribosomal RNA, 433 nt
Filed under: uncultured bacterium
Lineage: Bacteria
Description: partial 16S ribosomal RNA
Rfam family: Bacterial small subunit ribosomal RNA
Source: RNAcentral